Perognathus longimembris pacificus (Pacific pocket mouse) is the source of this 1239-nucleotide long non-coding RNA. RefSeq lists it as uncharacterized. Lineage: Eukaryota; Metazoa; Chordata; Mammalia; Rodentia; Heteromyidae. The transcript has 3 exons. The record is from RefSeq and is a predicted model, not a curated record.
AGGAGAUAAUUUCUGGAUAAUUUCUGGAGCUGUGGGUACUAAAUAAACACCAAAUAUUAAAUUUACUUGGUUUAGUAUUGAGGGAGUGGCUGCCUGGAUUUUUUAGUUCUUUUGAGUUUCCUGUUCUUAAUAUCUUUGGUUUUAAGGUUUUAUUGAUGGAAGGUUCAUUUUUUUUCUUGUAGCAUAUGACUAAAAGCUUAUGAUUUUAUUGCUACUUUUUUGCCCCUCCUUUGUUUUUCUCUUUUAUCUUGUUGAAUUAUUUUUCAAGAAAGGAAAAUCACUUCGCUUAAAGUUCAAAAAAGAGUGAAAAAUAGAUCUGUUUAUACCAUAGAUUGCAUUCUGCAGAUAAUUAUAAUCUAUUUCAGUGAACCUCUGUCUUAUUACUUGUUUUACUUUGAUAAGAUAGACUUGAUAUUUGAUUAGAACAAGAAAAUCAGUAAAAGCUGUACAAUCCAGAAAAAGGAAGACAAAUGAAAAUAUGAUCCCCAAGCCAUUUAACAUGAACAGAUUAUACUUCCAUAUUUCAUAAUAUUUAUGCUUUUUGUGUAAACUCAAUAAGUUUGUAGGCAGAACCUUCAAUAUAAUAGAGGGAAUAGCUUGGCAAACUCUCUACAUAAAAAGAGUAGUAAAAGUGGGCAAAAUUCUCAAAUGCAAUCAUAUUGGGGCUUUGGAAGCUGACCAAAGAUGCCUAUGAAGUUAAAAAAUGAUUGCUCAUGAAAAUCUCAUUAACUUGUCUAACAGCAGUGGGUGUUGGCCUUUAUGUCUGGAGUCACUGCUGCUCCCUACCCCAGCCCUGGAAAACCAUCAGCUUCCUUGGAAGAUUUGAUUUGGAGCAGAGCACAGAAAAUUACCACGUCCAAUAGCAUAGUCAGCAAUAGCGGUGUUGGCAAAUGAGUGAAAAUAGCAGGGGCUCGGCUACGGAGAGUGCUCACUGGUUCAGGGCAAGCAGUCUAUACCUGAAGAUAAGCCAGAGAUUUAACUCUGAGACUUGAGAGAUAAGCUGACCAUAGAUUACUUGAAACUUAAAACCACAAACUUGCUUAUAAGAGAUCUGAGAAAACACAAGCUUCCCAUUCCCGCAUUGCGGACUAUGAAACUGUACAAAACAGAAGGAAGAACAAGAGAAACCAGAAGGAAGUAAGAGCCUGGGUAGAUGUAAAACUGUUAUACACAGAAGAGCAAAUUCUUUGUCAGGCAAUAGAAGUCUUUUUUUUUCUUUUUUGGAGAAGAGAAUUAAGU